UUGAAGAGUUUGAUCAUGGCUCAGAUUGAACGCUGGCGGCAGGCCUAACACAUGCAAGUCGAACGGUAACAGGAAGCAGCUUGCUGCUUUGCUGACGAGUGGCGGACGGGUGAGUAAUGUCUGGGAAACUGCCUGAUGGAGGGGGAUAACUACUGGAAACGGUAGCUAAUACCGCAUAAUGUCGCAAGACCAAAGAGGGGGACCUUCGGGCCUCUUGCCAUCGGAUGUGCCCAGAUGGGAUUAGCUAGUAGGUGGGGUAACGGCUCACCUAGGCGACGAUCCCUAGCUGGUCUGAGAGGAUGACCAGCCACACUGGAACUGAGACACGGUCCAGACUCCUACGGGAGGCAGCAGUGGGGAAUAUUGCACAAUGGGCGCAAGCCUGAUGCAGCCAUGCCGCGUGUAUGAAGAAGGCCUUCGGGUUGUAAAGUACUUUCAGCGGGGAGGAAGGCGAUAAGGUUAAUAACCUUGUCGAUUGACGUUACCCGCAGAAGAAGCACCGGCUAACUCCGUGCCAGCAGCCGCGGUAAUACGGAGGGUGCAAGCGUUAAUCGGAAUUACUGGGCGUAAAGCGCACGCAGGCGGUCUGUCAAGUCGGAUGUGAAAUCCCCGGGCUCAACCUGGGAACUGCAUUCGAAACUGGCAGGCUAGAGUCUUGUAGAGGGGGGUAGAAUUCCAGGUGUAGCGGUGAAAUGCGUAGAGAUCUGGAGGAAUACCGGUGGCGAAGGCGGCCCCCUGGACAAAGACUGACGCUCAGGUGCGAAAGCGUGGGGAGCAAACAGGAUUAGAUACCCUGGUAGUCCACGCCGUAAACGAUGUCGACUUGGAGGUUGUGCCCUUGAGGCGUGGCUUCCGGAGCUAACGCGUUAAGUCGACCGCCUGGGGAGUACGGCCGCAAGGUUAAAACUCAAAUGAAUUGACGGGGGCCCGCACAAGCGGUGGAGCAUGUGGUUUAAUUCGAUGCAACGCGAAGAACCUUACCUACUCUUGACAUCCAGAGAACUUAGCAGAGAUGCUUUGGUGCCUUCGGGAACUCUGAGACAGGUGCUGCAUGGCUGUCGUCAGCUCGUGUUGUGAAAUGUUGGGUUAAGUCCCGCAACGAGCGCAACCCUUAUCCUUUGUUGCCAGCGGUCCGGCCGGGAACUCAAAGGAGACUGCCAGUGAUAAACUGGAGGAAGGUGGGGAUGACGUCAAGUCAUCAUGGCCCUUACGAGUAGGGCUACACACGUGCUACAAUGGCGCAUACAAAGAGAAGCGACCUCGCGAGAGCAAGCGGACCUCAUAAAGUGCGUCGUAGUCCGGAUUGGAGUCUGCAACUCGACUCCAUGAAGUCGGAAUCGCUAGUAAUCGUGGAUCAGAAUGCCACGGUGAAUACGUUCCCGGGCCUUGUACACACCGCCCGUCACACCAUGGGAGUGGGUUGCAAAAGAAGUAGGUAGCUUAACCUUCGGGAGGGCGCUUACCACUUUGUGAUUCAUGACUGGGGUGAAGUCGUAACAAGGUAACCGUAGGGGAACCUGCGGUUGGAUCACCUCCUU
This 1538-nucleotide ribosomal RNA is filed under the name Enterobacter hormaechei. Its description in RNAcentral is "Bacterial small subunit ribosomal RNA". It matches the Rfam family "Bacterial small subunit ribosomal RNA". The record is from RNAcentral. Lineage: Bacteria; Pseudomonadati; Pseudomonadota; Gammaproteobacteria; Enterobacterales; Enterobacteriaceae.